UUUGUUUCUGACCAAGCAUUGGCUAUGGCUUUCUCAGAUAUCCUUAUAUUUAAGCAAUGUUCUCCCUCCCUCCCUCUCUCUUUUCCUACGUCCGCCCCCUUCCGCUUGUUAAAUAUUCUUGUUUCAUUUGUUUCUUUGAGUGUCAUUACUUCUUCAUUCUUUUAUUUUACUAGCUCAGGCAAUUACUUUAUCAAAUUGCAUUGUCGCUCAUAAUAAUGCUCUAUUUGCUUUGCUGGUAUCCAAUAACUUUUCUGAGACAAGAAGGAAUGUCUUUACGCGCUUUAGCAAGGAUAACAUCCACAGUCUCGCAUACGCAGAUUCAAUAGAGCGUUUCCACAUUUCAGCAUUUCUCUUAUCUGUAUUAGCUCUAAAUAUCUUGGAAGCUCCGAGUCCUUGGUUUGAAAAUUUUAUUUUUGACACGUUUUUGGUUUUCAUCUGUGAAAUGCUAAUCUAUAUCAU
Molecule: long non-coding RNA, 459 nt
Organism: Hibiscus syriacus
Lineage: Eukaryota; Viridiplantae; Streptophyta; Magnoliopsida; Malvales; Malvaceae
Exons: 3
Source: RefSeq, a predicted model, not a curated record